UGGGGAAUAUUGCACAAUGGGCGCAAGCCUGAUGCAGCCAUGCCGCGUGUAUGAAGAAGGCCUUCGGGUUGUAAAGUACUUUCAGCGGGGAGGAAGGUGUUGAGGUUAAUAACCUCAGCAAUUGACGUUACCCGCAGAAGAAGCACCGGCUAACUCCGUGCCAGCAGCCGCGGUAAUACGGAGGGUGCAAGCGUUAAUCGGAAUUACUGGGCGUAAAGCGCACGCAGGCGGCCUGUCAAAUCGGAUGUGAAAUCCCCGGGCUCAACCUGGGAACUGCAUUCGAAACUGGCAGGCUAGAGUCUUGUAGAGGGGGGUAGAAUUCCAGGUGUAGCGGUGAAAUGCGUAGAGAUCUGGAGGAAUACCGGUGGCGAAGGCGGCCCCCUGGACAAAGACUGACGCUCAGGUACGAAAGCGUGGGGAGCAAACA
RNAcentral lists this ribosomal RNA (427 nucleotides) under uncultured bacterium. RNAcentral's name for it is "partial 16S ribosomal RNA". It matches the Rfam family "Bacterial small subunit ribosomal RNA", at positions 355 to 774 of the family's 1533-position model. The record is from RNAcentral.